This is a non-coding RNA of Peromyscus maniculatus bairdii (prairie deer mouse), 223 nucleotides long. NCBI's taxonomy places the organism in Eukaryota, Metazoa, Chordata, Mammalia, Rodentia, Cricetidae. The record is from RefSeq and is a predicted model, not a curated record.
GACUGCUUUUCCCGUCUGUGUUAUUUCUUUUGUUGAUAUGUCUUUCUCAGUGAUAAAAUUGUUGGUCACAUCAUCAGCUACAUCUCCAAGAUCAGUCAAAAGAGAGCUCAGCUUGUGGGAGAAUGUGGAAAGGACAAUAGAGGAAGGAACCACUGAGCCUCUCUUGAAAAGCUCCUGGUUCCCCAGGUCCAGAUCAACAUUCUGUUUGAAGACUGACCAGUAU